AAAGGAGGGAGGGAUGGAGUAUUGGCGGGAGGGAGGGAGGGUGUGUUGGAGGGAGUAUUGGAGGGAGGAAAGGAGGGUGGGAGGGAGUAUUGGAGGGAGGGACGGACGGAUGGAGUAUUGGAGGGAGGGAGGGACGGAUGGAGUAUUGGAGGGAGGGAGGGAGUAUUGGAGGGAGGGAGGGAUGGAGUAUUUGGAGUGAGGGAGGGAGUAUUGGAGGGAGGGAGGGAUUAUUGGAGUGAGGGAGGGAUGGAGUAUUGGAGGGAGGGAGGGAGGGAGGGAGGGAUGGAGUAUUGGAGGGAUGGAGUUUUGGAGUGAGUGAGGGAUGGAGUAUUGGAGGGAGUGAGGGAGGGAUGGAGUAUUGGAGUGAGGGAUGGAGUAUUGGAGGGAUGGAGUAUUGGAGGGAGGAAGGAAGGGUGGAGGGGAGGGGAGGGAGGGAAGAAUGCAAUGAAUGGUUUACAAAACCCUGGUGUCAGCACAGACACCUCUUUGUCCUUAUCAUUUGUCCUCCCAGGGGCUUAGAGGCGAGAGGAGAGGCGUAGAGGGGAGGGGAGAGGCGUAGAGGGGAGGGGAGAGGAGAGGUGUAGCGGGAACAGAAGAGUGCUAGAGGGAAGAGGAGAGGAAUAGAGGGGAGAGGAGAGGUAGAGGGAAGAGGGAAGAGGAGAGGAAUAGAGGGGAGAGGAGAGGUAGAGUGGUAGAGGGAAGAGGAGAGGCGUAGAGGGGAGAAGAGAGAUUUAGAGGGGAGAGGAGAGAUUUAGAGGGGAGAGGAGAGGGGAGAGGAGAGGUGUAGAGCGGAGAGGAGAGAUGUAGAGAGGAGAGGAGAGGUGUGUAGGGGGGCGGAGAGGUGUAGAGGGGAGAGGAGAGAUUUAGAGGGGAGAGGAGAGAUUUAGAGAGGAGAGGUGUAGAGGGGAGAGGAGAGGUGUAGAGAGGAGAGGUGUAGAGGGGAGAGGAGAGGUGUAGAGAGGAGAGGUGUAGAGGGGAGAGGAGAGGUGUAGAGGGGAGAAGAGAGAUUUAGAGGGGAGAGGAGAGAUUUAGAGGGGAGAGGAGAG
Oncorhynchus tshawytscha (Chinook salmon) is the source of this 1046-nucleotide long non-coding RNA. The record is from Ensembl. NCBI's taxonomy places the organism in Eukaryota, Metazoa, Chordata, Actinopteri, Salmoniformes, Salmonidae.